GACUUGGCUGAAUAUCCCACUACCUAUCCUCCUAAACCUGGCAAUCCUCGACCUAUCCCUAUCCUCGUUUUCGUCGUUAACUUUCUCUUUCCCCUUCUCUUUCUGAUCAAUUUUGGUUUUCUCCUCCUCGUCAACACGAAUUCUCUUCGCCUUUGGUUGAAUUUCUGCGUCUUCUGCUUCCUCGUCAUCAUCCUUCGCCUCAUCUGGUUCAUCCUGGAAUUUCGUGAGAAUUGAAAACCCUUACUUUCGCACCUCCUCCGGAAAAUCAAAAUCGGAAGGAGAAAGUAAAAAACAAAGAGAUCUCAAUGAUGAAUCAAAGAGUGAAACAAAAGAAGUACCUGAUCGGAGAGGUCAGAGAGCAUUUCUGACUCUAGGAGCUGGGCUAAAAGAUCGUCUUCGUCGUCCCAAGUCGCCAUGAUUCAGGAGCGAAAGAGCGAUUUGAGAUCGGAAG
Molecule: long non-coding RNA, 451 nt
Filed under: Linum usitatissimum (flax)
Lineage: Eukaryota; Viridiplantae; Streptophyta; Magnoliopsida; Malpighiales; Linaceae
Description: long non-coding RNA (LUSI_LNC001613)
Source: RNAcentral